CAUUCCUCCCCAACCACCUCACCCAUCCUCUCGGUGCCCAGCAAACAUUCACUGAUGGCCGCCCUCUUCCAGACUCCCGCCCGGCUCUCUGGCAUGCAGGAAAACUGAGCAUGGUCCCGGCCUGGGGAGGGAGACGGGCGGAGUGUCCCAAGCACCAUGGCUGACACCUGGAAGGAGGGAUCACUCCACCUGGGAGGUGGGGACCGAGGUAAAGCGGUGACUCUGGAGGCCGAGGAAGAGAGGACAAAUCGUGUGGCCGGAUCUCCACACUAGCCUGACACCAGGGAACCCGCCGUGGCCAGCUUUAUCCGAUGCUGAAAGGGUCAUUUCCCACCUGACGUAAGGGGAGCAGCCCUUCGCCCACAGCCCCACCUCUGCUGGGUAACUUGGAAUUUCAAGCCCAGUGACCCCUGAAGUGUCCUCUAAACCUGCGUGGCCCAGAGGAUGUCCCACUUGUCCUGAGAAAGGUUCCAUGGGGAACAUGACACUGGUAUCAAAUAAGCCUGGGGAAGACUGCACACUCGGGCCCCUUCUUAGAAGAUCAAAGUCCCUGUUAACAAUUAAAGGCUCUGAGAAGUCCUGCAAGAGAGAAGCCUGUCUGACUUUGUAGAAUCCAGUGUUUCCCUGGCUUAUUGCAUCCAGAACCUUUCUUUUCUCUCAAAACAACAGCCACAGAGCUUCACUUGGGAAAUACAUCCAAAAUGCAAAGUGGCAUUGCCCGCUGCCAUCUUGACACAGGCGAGCUUCUUUCCAGAGUCUCAGGGAGGAAAAGCAGGAGUCGGCUGUGUCUGGUAAGAGGCCCUGUGGUCCAGAGAGCAGGAGACUCUGCAGACCCACCAGGGCUCAGCAUGGCCAUCCCUCUCUCAGCCUCCAGGAGACCCUGUCUCCAGAGCCACUGUCCCCAGAAAAGGUGUCAUUGAGCAGCAGCCUCAGAAGAGGGGCAAGCUUAGCCAAGAGGGGAGGCCAGAUGUGUGCAGCAUCACGGAUGGGAGAGGCACGGAAGGCUGGGACACCCAGGCAGCAGGGAGUGAUGGCGUCUCCGGGCAUCCCCUGGGGCAGAUACAGCCUCGUCCUUCGGCUGGACUUGAACCAAAGACCAAUUCGUGUCUCCACCUCACACCCCCACCCUGCCCAGCCUGUCUUCUCCUAGUCCCUCUGCAUCCCCAGGGCCUGGGACCAUCUCCCAGCCCCUACCUGUGUGCUCUGAGACUCUUACCCUCUUUGGGGCCGAGGGGGCAAGGAUCCUGCUCCCGCUCCCGCUCCCGCCCCCUCCCUCCUGCACCGACUCUUGGCUGCCUCCUGAAGCCAGACAAUACAGGGAAAUGUUUGCACCCAAACAACUCCGCUGCUUCAGGAACUGGCUGACCCUGCCCAGGAAAGCACUCCUGCAGCUCCACCCUGGUCCCCUCAGUCCGAGGACCAGAGACCAAAGCUGAAGGGGCAGCCCAGCAGAGGUCAGCAGAGCCAGAGAGGUCAUAGGCAUCCCCGAUGUGGCCGAGGGGAGCACAGGGGUCGCCUCUCUCUAGGGACCGGGGCUUUCUUGCCUGCCUAAGUCAGAAAGGGAGGGCUGUUCCCGACUGUGGAUAUGCAAAAGCCAGAUUGUCAAUAUUUAUCUAGAGAGCUGUGGCUCUGGAUUAAUCUGGCCUGAAGAUAAUGAAAAGAGCACUUUGAUGUGACUUGAGAAAUGUAUUAAUUCAUUCAACAAGCAUUUGCCACACUUGGGGUCUGGGCCAAGCCGCAUGCCGGGCACUGAGGAUUCGGGGGUAUGAGCCUCACCCCGCCCUGGAGAGGCCCACGGUCCAAGGGGGAGACAGAACCCAAAAUGGAAUGGGGGGCAGGUGGGUGCUGCUCUGCCCCAGCUGAAGUUCCUCUUGAGAAACGCUAACCUGGCAUUGGCUAAAGCAGGGGCUGCAGGAUCAAUGCAC
RNAcentral lists this long non-coding RNA (1925 nucleotides) under Equus caballus (horse). RNAcentral's name for it is "lncRNA (ENSECAG00000051322.1)". Lineage: Eukaryota; Metazoa; Chordata; Mammalia; Perissodactyla; Equidae. The record is from RNAcentral.